This 4859-nucleotide long non-coding RNA is filed under the name Oreochromis niloticus (Nile tilapia). Its description in RNAcentral is "lncRNA (ENSONIG00000038074.1)". Lineage: Eukaryota; Metazoa; Chordata; Actinopteri; Cichliformes; Cichlidae. The record is from RNAcentral.
UUGAUUCAUAGAUUCAGCACACAACCAUUAGUCUAGGCCUUUUAGUUCAAAUUCUCUUCACUUAUGUUUGUAAAAUGAUCAGGGAAGCUACUGCAGUUUUGCCUGACAUUGUUAUGACAGCUAUAUUCACCCGUACAUUUAUAUCAUAAUAUAUUGACGGGAGAGCUAUAUUCACCUGUACUUUCAUAAUAAAUCAUAAUACAUUGACACGCAGUCUGGAGAACACUGGUUCGCAAGUAGCCUAUCACUAGCAAACACACAGCUAUCCAUUUCAAGGAAAACAUAUGUAUUAUGCUUACCGUUUAUUAAAGAAAAGUAUCUUGAGAGGAAUUGAAAUUGCUGGAUCAGCGGACAAAAGGCGAUUUCUCGAAGAACAUUUGUUUUUUUAAGGCGGGUAUUUUCCGAAGUCGCAAAAGUAUGACGUCACAAGAAGGUGAUUGGUUACUUGUAAUGUGGACCCUGGAACAACAUUAAUUAUGAUGAUGUGGGAACAACGGCAACACGAGGAUAUCAGAUCGUCCGUCUAAAAUGGUCAUAAUUCUUCAUUUAAACGUCAUUGCCACUAUUUAAUAAGGGAAUUUAUUUAUAAAUUUAAUGCUUUCCAUAAAUGGUUCAAAUUCAAAAAAGCUUCCAUACCACGACUUUAAAUAAACCUUUGAACUUCCAACAGGUGCUGAAUGUUUCUCCAACAUAAUUCAGGACAUGGUAGGACAGAAACCAUCUGCCUUCUUUAAUCUAUGCUGGAGAUACAUCAUUCCUCUGCUGACACUGAUAAAUGACGUCUACGUUUACCGUGAAUGGGCGUACACACUAGGAUGGGCCAUGACUCUGUCUUCUGUUCUCAUGGUACCACUAUUCGCAGCUGUACAGAUGUAUUUAACACCAGGCACCUCCAGACAGGUCAGUGCUGAGUCAAGAUACUUGUGCUGUUUUGCUUAAAACACACUGCACUGAUUUAUCUGUGUUAUUAUAAUUUAAAAACAUAUUCACUAAUCGCUAGUCCUUUCCUGUGCUCUAGCGUUUGCACGUACUUUGUUGUCCAACUGAAGCGCCAGUGACGUGCAUAGAAAUAUAAGCAGUCAAACAAAAUGGUGACAUCUGUAAAGCUGAAGACCUUUUUUUCACAUUUUUGUGAAUUCAUUUUAUAAGAUAAGAUAAGAUAACUCUUUAUUGUCAUUGCAGUCAUACAUAGUACAAUAGUACAAUGAAAUUGGAAAACUGUCCUACGUCGGCACUACAUGUAACACAACACGACACGAUACGACACAACACAACACAAACAACACAACCAACACAACACAGUAAUAAAAAAGAAGAAUAAGUGUAUUUGUAUUGCACACUGUUAUUAUUGCACAUUAAUUAUUAUUGCACCUUGUUAUAAAUAUAAAUAUUAUUAUUAUUACUGUUUUUACCAUUGUUAACCCCCCCCCCCCCCCCAAAAAAAAAACGUCCAGGUAGGUAGCCAGUCAGGUCAGCUAUUUGCAUUGAUUAGGGCUAUUGCCCUGUUGUAAAAGCUGUCCUUGAGUCUAUUUGUUCGGGACCUCAGCAGCCUGAACCUCCUGCCAGACGGCAGCAGCUUAAACACCCGGUGUCCUGGGUGUGUGCAGUCCCGUAGGAUGCUGCGUGCCCUCUUGAGACAGCGAGUGCUGUACAGGUCCUUCAGGGACGGAAGAGGAUGUCCAAUGAUUUUUUGGGCCAUAUUGAUGACCCUCUGAAGUGUCUUUCUGUGUGCUGUGGUGCAGCUGGAGAACCAAACACUGAUGCAAUAUGUCAGCACACUUUCAAUGGAGCAGCGGUAGAAGACGGUCAGCAGCUCCUUCUUCAGGUCCAUUUUUCUGAGGAUUCUCAGAAAGUGGAGACGCUGUUGGGCCUUCUUUAAAACCACAGAGGUGUUAGCGCUCCAUGUGUCUAUGUCAUUGACUGUAGAAAACAUGGACGACGCGACUCCGCCUCCUACCAUUGUGCAAAAAUGAAGCCAAAAUAUCCCGCUUGUGGAGGCUGCCAUCUUGCAAAUUUGGAGCCAGAGUCUGCGCAGUAGUGACUUGAGGUGGAGCGACUGUGUAACGCUCCCGCCCACACACCCGCUGGACAUGACCGCAAACACGCCCCCCUACACUUUUUACGUAGCCCGGCUGCUCGAGUUUUUUUGCUGGUUUACCGCGACUGACGACUCGUUUAAUUAAGGUAAAUACAAACAUGUCACUGUUAUAAAAAAAGACGCACAGCUUAUCAUCUUAUAGUUCUAAAAUCACUCUGUUGUUAAUUCGUUUGCUAGAUUAGCCGCUAGCAUACGCGCUGUGUUGGAGGCUUAUUGCUAGCUAGUUAGCGAUGCUACACACCUGCUACUCUAAUAGUCUGUGUUAUUGAAGGAUUCAGCACUUCUUAUGUUUGUUUUUAUCCAUUUUUAGACAGCGAUGAGAUCAUCUGCACACUCUACAGAGGCCCAGAGUUACUGUUAAUAUCAAAAAUAUAAUGCUGUCCUUUGAGAUUUUAACAUAAGACUGUGAGUGUAAUGGAUCUAAAACUGUUUAAAUCUUCAGAGCCCUCUACAGCCUGGUAACAUGGAAACUUUAAAAACAUCAGCAGAACGUUUCAGUAGUGUAGUGUGAUUUGUUCUUUUCAUUUAAUAAUAGAGUCCCUAUUAUAUCAACAGCUACAUUCACCCUGGAGAGAAACUAGUGAGGGAGACCACCAGGACCAAGCUGGGUUUCCUGGGUCCAGAGGUUUGGAGAAACUUCUUCCUUUUCUUUCAUCACAGAUGUCCUGUGCCAGAUGUUCUGUUGACCGACUGAGGGAGACUUCAUUUAAGAAACACCAGGAAGACUGAAGCUCAUCGCAUAGAUCAAGCAGGACUCAUGAUCUUCACCAGCAGCUCCCUCACAGGGAAAUCUUCAGCACUCCUCCGUAGGCCCGAUCCAGGAGAUGGAUAAACCCAGCAUUUCAUGAACACUGUGAUGGAGACCUUUGGUUUGUGUAAUGUUAUAAAUACUCGGAUACUCCCCAGAGGCUCCAGACUUUUACAUAAAGAUAUUAUAUUCAGUCCUGUAGAAAGUUAUAUAUUUAAAAAUAUAUGAUCCUCUCUGGUUACUCUGGUAUGAAUAACUCUGAAUCACUUUAUGGUAAAUAACACAUUAUCUGCAAAAAACUGUGAAAGAAUUCCAGAUGACAAGUUUGUAGUUCAACAUACAAGUGACGACCUUUGACCUUCAUCAGGUUUUAUUUAAUUGUGCCAGAGAAAAUCUCAUAUGCUCUUCAUGCAGCUGAGUACAUCAAGUGUUUAAAACGGAAGCUGUGCAGGUCUGAGAUCAGCAGCUUUGUGAAACACCAAACUGAGGUCCUGUUAAUGCUGAUAUAUAGUGACACAGUUACAUGAGUGAUUAAUCCUUUUGUUUUUUUGUCUUUAACUUUAUCAAUAAAGCUGCAGCUUUCACUACAGCACAUGUAGUACUUUAAUCUUUGUACUGUUUUCAUCAGUUCAUUUUGCAGUUAACAUGUUGGAUGAUCUGUCUGCUGUCACUGGGUGGUGCUGAGGUCUGAAUCUAAGGGCAGCCCCUGUAAUCACAAAGAGAACAGAACCAUCAAACUCAAAUAUAAAUUUUAUUUCUCAAAAUUGAAAUGAAGCUGAUUCUUCUGUCCUCACACACUCAGGAUCUGAAGUUCUUCUCUUACAUUUUUUCAGUAUUACAGUACACUACAGUACUUUAAUCCAUAGUUCCUGAUUAAUGAGGAGUUACUGAAGUACAAGCUUUUAAAAAAAUGUUACUGUCUUUACAGAUGUGGCAAGAGACUGAAAACAUGCUGUUGUUUGCAUAUAUUUGAUAUUCAGCUCUGCACAGGAGCUGAAGCAGGAUGCAGCCUGAUGCUUUUACAGUAUAAUACUUGUAAUAAAAGUACAGUAACAGUAAUUAGUGACUGAUUAGCCCGGAACGUUUCUCUUAAUUUCUUUAGGAAGUUCAUUCACCUGCACAGAUUAGCUAAACGAACCCUGACAGCCGAGUGCUCAUUUUAGCUAGCUAGGUCUCAGGACAUAGCUAAGGACAGUAGUUACGGAUUAACUUACAAACACGAUUAACUUACCGAAAAGUGCAGCGGGGCCUCGGGUCCUUCUGUCAGGUAGUCCAGUUUACUGAAGAACACCUCAGACUGUCAGGUUAAAACACUCGGUCGUGUUUUCGUAGCGUAAACGCUGGCCCUCCUCUCAGAGCCUACGCUCUAUCUGCUAUUCCCGAACACAGAUACGCAAGUUUCUCCGUGACUGCAGCUGCCAAUCAAAGCUGCUAUGAUGACGUUUCACCCCAAUUUAACAUCACCGCUGUAGGAAUUAGAAUCAAACUUAUGGGAACGGAGACCCCUUGGACAUCAAUCAGCAUGAUGAGAACUAUUGAUAACAAAAGAAAGAAUCUUUGGAAAAAAUUAUCUGAGGAGAAUAAAUUUAUUUUAGUCUGACCCCAGUCCCAUCCGCUAACAUGGAGGAGGCGGGGUUUAUGACCUAUACUGCAGCCAGACACCAGGGGGCGAUAGAGACGUUUUGGCUUCAUUUUUGGGGAGCUGUGGCGUCGUCCAUGUUUUCUACAGUCAAUGGUCUAUGUGCACACCCAGAAACUUGAAACUGGAGACCCUUUCCACACACUCCCCGUUGAUGCUGACAGGCUGCAGCUCAGACUUUCUCCUUCUGAAAUCAACUACCAGUUCUUUUGUCUUGGUGGUAUGAGGUCCAGGUUGUUAUGAUUUAAUGAAUAUUUUUCUGUGAACUCAUAUUUCUGUUCCUCUUUGAAUGUGGUAAAAUAAGAUGCAAACAUAAAAUAGUCUCAGCAUGUUCUCUUGUCAUAGCAAAAUCGCUUUAUACUUCAUGCACAGUU